ACACAAUGCUCAUUACCACAAACACUGAUCAAGUUUGAAUUUUGGUGGAGUCAUUUUUACUGCUCUAGGGUUGUGCCUCGUUACAAAUGUAACCAGAUGCUCCGCAGGGCACAGCUUUAUAUGACUGCAAUGGUCGAAGCCUGAACAGUUGGGUCAAGUAUGGACACAACAUUCAAGCUUGAUACAGCUCUGAAUUUGGAUUGCG
This 205-nucleotide long non-coding RNA is filed under the name Mytilus galloprovincialis (Mediterranean mussel). The record is from RNAcentral. Lineage: Eukaryota; Metazoa; Mollusca; Bivalvia; Mytilida; Mytilidae.